UACGUAGGGUGCAAGCGUUAUCCGGAAUUAUUGGGCGUAAAGAGCUCGUAGGCGGUUUGUCGCGUCUGCUGUGAAAACUGGAGGCUCAACCUCCAGCCUGCAGUGGGUACGGGCAGACUAGAGUGCGGUAGGGGAGAUUGGAAUUCCUGGUGUAGCGGUGGAAUGCGCAGAUAUCAGGAGGAACACCAAUGGCGAAGGCAGUUCUCUGGGCCGUAACUGACGCUGAGGAGCGAAAGCGUGGGUAGCGAACAGG
This 253-nucleotide ribosomal RNA is filed under the name uncultured bacterium. RNAcentral describes it as "partial 16S ribosomal RNA". It matches the Rfam family "Bacterial small subunit ribosomal RNA", at positions 524 to 776 of the family's 1533-position model. The record is from RNAcentral.